This 327-nucleotide long non-coding RNA is filed under the name Macaca fascicularis (crab-eating macaque). RNAcentral describes it as "lncRNA (ENSMFAG00000053680.1)". Lineage: Eukaryota; Metazoa; Chordata; Mammalia; Primates; Cercopithecidae. The record is from RNAcentral.
UAUGAUCUUGAACCUGUUGGAGCAUUUGGACGCAUUUCUUUUAAGGAAGUUCACCUCCAGAUGUGCUCAGAGGGCCUGGUCUUAGCUGCCACAGAUUUACAAAUUCUUACAGUAAGAAUGGAGGCAUCACUCGGUCUCUGUCUUCUCUCCGUGUCUCUUUCUUCACUCCCAUCUUCCCUAACACACAUCCACAGUGCAAGUCUUCAGGAGGCAAAAGAGAAAAGGCUAGACUGUGCUGGGACCCCAACCCCAGGGCCCAUUUGCUGUCUUCUCAGCUUCCAUGUGCCCAGAGCCGCCUGGGGGAGCCUUCGGAGGUGCAGAUCCUGA